This 2521-nucleotide long non-coding RNA is filed under the name Citrus x clementina. RNAcentral's name for it is "Citrus clementina (C. clementina) long non-coding RNA (CCLE_LNC000333)". Lineage: Eukaryota; Viridiplantae; Streptophyta; Magnoliopsida; Sapindales; Rutaceae. The record is from RNAcentral.
UUGUGCUUUUUUUAAAUUUAAAUAAUAACAUUUUAUAGAAAAACAUACUUAACGAAAGCAAUUUAUUUUAUUUUUUAUCUUUCCCAUUUCAAUGGCAAACAUUUGAAGCUAUUAUAUUUUUCUUAAAGUUCGAUCAUAGACCAUGUAAAGAAAGAACAAGUAAUUUUUAGUACACGACACCAAUGGAUUCAGACCCAAACAUUAAAUUUUUUUGGCUCCUUUUCAAUCUAUCCGCCGUACAACUUCAAGAAUAGCUUUAACGAAGGGAUAUUUGUAUCCUUUACAAACUUGAUCUCUUUGUCCUCGCAACAAAUGCAUGAACUAUUUUGUAAAGAAUUCAUAUUCGAAAUUGAACUGAGUUUUUAUUAAUACUGUAAUUGAUAGUAUUUAAAUAAGAAAUAAUAUAUAAUUAAAUCUUAAUCAUAUACUGAGAUAAAUGAAUGCGCGGCAAAAUAAUAUAGAAAGAUUAUCACAACUCAAUUCAACUUGAUAUUAAACCCAAAUUAAAAAAUUUAAGAUUUGAAUUCAAAAUUAAGUUAAGUUUCAUUUAAUUUUUUUAAUUAAAAUGAUGCAAUUGAUAGUUAUUGUAAUGAACGUAUAAAUAACUAGUUAUUAAUCAUACAUUACUAUAAAUUUACGCUUGACAUAAUAUUAAUUAUAAAAAGAUCAGUACAACUUAACUUAGCUCAAACACCCUUUAAAAACGUAGUAUAUUACUUACAUUAGUAAUUUUGUUUAUUAAUUAUUCACACGUUAAAAUAAGUUUAAUGUUAAUAAUAUAAACCACUAAAAGCUAAAAUGAUAAACAAGAAGACCUUGCGAAUCUAGGUAAGUGGCCUUUGACAGAUCAUAAAGGUGGAGCCAAGAUCUUAACAUAUAACAAACAACAAUUAGGAUUGUUUUUAUCAAUCAUAUUGUGUGAUCCUGUGUGCAGUGUCGGUUGUCUAAUUGUCAACGGAACUCGAAGUUCAAGUUUCCCCUUUUUCUUUCAUGUUUCCUUUUCGUUUUCAUUGUCGUUCGGCGGACAAUUUUUUGGUCCAAAUUGUGUGGCGGUGGAAAAGUGGGUAACUAGAGAAAGCAUCAGCAGCAUGUAGCAUCAUGCGCUACAGCUUAAAUUAUUAUUGUAUGCACCCACUCUUAUCAUAUGCACCACAUUUUCAUUCGUUUAUUUGACCAGAUUGUACAACUAUGCAUCUUAUAAAAUUUAUAAAAAUUAUUCAUUUAGAUUUCUAUUAGAUAGUUUUAGACCUCUCUCAACCCCCAAAAACUACUUGUCACUGGUUUUAAAGUUUAGGUCUACCAACAUCUCCACUCAAUAAUCUAAUAAAGAGAACAUGUGUUUAUUCUUCUGAUUCAGUGCCUGAUGUAUGAGGGGGAGAUUAUUGAGUUAUCCCACAUUAAUGUGGAAUAGGCAAUAGUGACUUGAUAAGUGUGAGGGAAAACCGAAUCUCUUGAUCUAAUUUUUAGAGUUGAGAGAGGUCCAUGACCAUCUAACAAUUUUAAUUAAAAUUAUUAUUAAUAGUGUUGAUUAGUGAUUAAUAUGAAGAAGUUAAGUUAUUUUAUUGAAUAAAUAAUACUCAUUUUUAUAAGACUUUUUUUCUCGGAAUUAUUUUCUACAAUUGGAGAAAUUUUUUUUUGAAUAACUUUCCUUGUAUGCUCUUUAAAAAAAAAACUUCUUUUUUUAACUCGGUUAUAUUUUUAUGUAAUUUAAGAAAAAGGCUUAAUCCAUUGCAAAAAAAAUUAUUUACCUCCAAAAAUGAGGACAAAAAAUUGAUUGAGUAAAGGCAUUUGUUAAAACAAGUUAUUGUCUUUUUUACUAAGGGUAAUUUAUGUUUUGCUAACCAGCAUUACCUAUUAAAGAAAAAAAAAUUAAGAAUGUCUAUGGGUUUAGGCAAGAAGUUUUCGAACAAUUUUCAUUCAGUGACUAUCUGUGCCAAAAUACUAAAAGGUAAAGGAAUAGAAAAUAAAAUUUGAUUGCAAUCACUUCAAAUUUGAAAAGAAAAUUAAUUUAUCUUCUAAAAAUAAUUUUUCUUUUAUUUUUUUUGUCUCUAUUUUGUCCUUGAUUUGUACAUGUUUAGUGCAAAAUUUGUACAUUAUUUUGUUCUUGUUCUAAACUUGGAGUAAUUAAUGUCAUAUGUGAAGAAUUUGAAAAAUAUUUAAUUAAUUUUAUUCAAGAAGAGAAAUAAAAAUAUCUUUUGAAUAGAGGAUAAAAUUUUAAUUACAUUUUAAUAAUUUUCAGUUGAACGAGAAGUUAAAAAAAAAUCAUAUACAAGAAAAAAUGCAAAUACUAUUAUGUGGAGCAAUUUUUAUUGGCUAGUACCAAGUUCUUUUAGUGUUCUACAAACCACUGGAAUUUUUUUGGCAGGAGGCACACGGUUUGAAAGUUUGAAUCAGUUUGAUACUCUGGACUCUGUAGACGCCAGAUAGUGCGUGUACAGACUUGCAUCAAAUUUUCAAAUCUUAAUUUCUAGAUUUGAAGACUUUAUUUUUAUUAAAAUACCCAUCAAACUUUUUAUAUCAU